Non-coding RNA from Aegilops tauschii subsp. strangulata, 1109 nucleotides. NCBI's taxonomy places the organism in Eukaryota, Viridiplantae, Streptophyta, Magnoliopsida, Poales, Poaceae. The record is from RefSeq and is a predicted model, not a curated record.
AAACUGGUGAGUUGAUCCUCGUACUUUGGAAGUAUCUUUAUUCUAUGGACCUUUGUAAGCACAUUUUAGUACCAUGAUCCAUUCUGUGUUCUCUGUUUACAAUGUACUAUCAAAUGUCAUGUGUAUUUUCCCUGCUUGCUACUGGCUUUGGAGGAAAACUUAGUUCCGUCGUUUUUAAAUGUAAAUUAUCUGCCAUGAUUAAGCAAGCCAAGCUGAAGUUUUGCCUUUGUUGGGACUUCUGAAACAGACUAUCAAACAGUACUACAAAUUUGAAAUGGUGUUCUUUCCUUGCAAAUGCACAGCAAAUUUUCAGGGGCCUGCCGAUGGUUUGUUGAACAGCAAAUUUUUAGGAGUUCUGCCUGAUUUUCUUACCAUGGUUAAGAAAAUAACAUGCUGGCAAUGAUUUGUGAGUAAAGCAUGUUCCAAUUCCUCUUGGAUUGGCGCGUCGUUUUAGUAUUUUUUAUAAACAUCAUUUAUCCAUAUCAAGUAUGCUUAAUCUUGGUAUAUUCCCAUUUUUUCAUUUUCACAAAUCACUCUUUCUAUAUCGUUCACAGGCUUCUGAAGAUGCUAGGAGAAUUGUUGACGAAGAACGAACUAAUGCACGCAUGGAGAUUGAAAAUGCUAGAGCUGCUGUACAAAGAGUUCAAAAAGUACUUCAAGAGAAAGAGAACAGUUCACAAAGAAUUGGAAAGCAGGUCGACAUCGACUGAGUACGAGCGGCCGUAGGUCACAAGGGGGCGUGGAACUGCUGCAGCCCAUCUGUGACAGAGCAGACUCCUGCGAAUUUGCCCAGCUAGGUACAUCCUCUACAUGGUAGCAACUUGAAGAAAAUUCUUCCUUUUUGCUUCCAUGACCUGAUAUCCUCCUCGCUGAUGUAUCGAGGAGCCGUGACCCGGCCUCACAGGAAGGGCCAGGGCGAAGACGUAUCCCCGACGGCCAAGACACGGCCACGGUGGUGAUUUUUGAUGGUGAGACAGAGCAGACUCGAGCGACUUUGCCCAGCCAGGAGCACAUAAAAGAUAAUCAGCGUUUAUUCGCUAGCUGGAAUUAAAGGCAACGGCGAGAGAGCAAGAUCAAGGACAACUUCAAAAUUUAAGAAUAUAUGCAAG